AAAAAAUGUAAAAAACGUCGUACAAAAAUAAGUUUCAACACACGUGUCAAAAACGUAAUAGACUCGUCCACUGGAAAAACGAGAAUAUCGGGUUAAUCCGGUGUCAUGCAUUCCCGUUUUUUAUCCAAAUUGAGGAUAUAUUUUUUUAUUAUCUAUGAAACAAGAAAAUUCGAAAUGAUUUAUUGAUAUUCAGAACUUUAACUUUGUGCCUUCCACCUUUCCACAUUUGGACAAGUCUAUUUCUAUGAUAUUAUGCAUCUUACGGACUGAUGACAAAUAAGGGAAACGAACUUACUGUGUAACUGGUUAUAAACACAGAUUUCGUUCCGCAAAAUUACUUGUGCAAACGACAUUUCAAGGUCAAUUAUAAUUGAUUUGUCUAUUUUUAGAAACGUAAACUGGAAGUUUUAUUUUUUC
RNAcentral lists this long non-coding RNA (417 nucleotides) under Mytilus galloprovincialis (Mediterranean mussel). Lineage: Eukaryota; Metazoa; Mollusca; Bivalvia; Mytilida; Mytilidae. The record is from RNAcentral.